This 253-nucleotide ribosomal RNA is filed under the name uncultured bacterium. Its description in RNAcentral is "partial 16S ribosomal RNA". It matches the Rfam family "Bacterial small subunit ribosomal RNA", at positions 524 to 776 of the family's 1533-position model. The record is from RNAcentral.
UACAGAGGUCCCGAGCGUUGUUCGGAUUUAUUGGGCGUAAAGGGUGCGUAGGCGGCGGAGUAAGUUGGGUGUGAAAUCCCGAGGCUCAACCUCGGAAUGGCAUUCAAUACUGCUUCGCUCGAGUACUGGAGAGGAGGCUGGAAUUUACGGUGUAGCAGUGAAAUGCGUAGAUAUCGUAAGGAAGGCCGGUGGCGAAAGCGAGCCUCUGGACAGUUACUGACGCUGAUGCACGAAGGCCAGGGGAGCAAACGGG